GAAGCAGCCAUCAUUUAAAGAAAGCGUAAUAGCUCACUGGUCGAGUCGGCCUGCGCGGAAGAUGUAACGGGGCUAAGUAAUAAACCGAAGCUGCGGCAAUGAAGUUUACUUCAUUGGGUAGGGGAGCGUUCUGUAAACCGUUGAAGGUGUGUUGUAAAGCAUGCUGGAGGUAUCAGAAGUGCGAAUGCUGACAUGAGUAACGAUAAAGGGGGUGAAAAACCUCCUCGCCGGAAGACCAAGGGUUCCUGUCCAACGUUAAUCGGGGCAGGGUAAGUCGACCCCUAAGGCGAGGCCGAAAGGCGUAGUCGAUGGGAAACGGGUUAAUAUUCCCGUACUUCUUACAAUUGCGAUGGGGGGACGGAGAAGGCUAGGUGGGCUUGGCGACGGUUGUCCAGGUUCAAGUGCGUAGGCUGAAGAGUUAGGUAAAUCCGGCUCUUCUUAAGGCUGAGACACGACGUCGAGCUACUACGGUAGUGAAGUCAUUGAUGCCAUGCUUCCAGGAAAAGCCUCUAAG
RNAcentral lists this ribosomal RNA (514 nucleotides) under Vibrio jasicida. RNAcentral describes it as "bacterial LSU rRNA". It matches the Rfam family "Bacterial large subunit ribosomal RNA", at positions 1109 to 1625 of the family's 2925-position model. Lineage: Bacteria; Pseudomonadati; Pseudomonadota; Gammaproteobacteria; Vibrionales; Vibrionaceae. The record is from RNAcentral.